RNAcentral lists this ribosomal RNA (450 nucleotides) under uncultured bacterium. RNAcentral describes it as "bacterial SSU rRNA". It matches the Rfam family "Bacterial small subunit ribosomal RNA", at positions 328 to 792 of the family's 1533-position model. The record is from RNAcentral.
CUACCAGACUCCUACGGGAGGCAGCAGUGGGGAAUAUUGGGCAAUGGAGGCAACUCUGACCCAGCAACGCCGCGUGAAUGAAGAAGGCCUUCGGGUUGUAAAGUUCUUUAAUUGGGGACGAAGGAAAUGACGGUACCCAAAGAAUAAGCCCCGGCUAACUACGUGCCAGCAGCCGCGGUAAUACGUAGGGGGCAAGCGUUAUCCGGAUUUACUGGGUGUAAAGGGAGCGUAGACGGCGAUACAAGUCUGGAGUGAAAGCCCGGGGCUCAACCCCGGGACUGCUUUGGAAACUGUGUUGCUGGAGUGCUGGAGAGGCAAGCGGAAUUCCUAGUGUAGCGGUGAAAUGCGUAGAUAUUAGGAAGAACACCAGUGGCGAAGGCGGCUUGCUGGACAGUAACUGACGUUGAGGCUCGAAAGCGUGGGGAGCAAACAGGAUUAGAUACCCCCGUA